Molecule: small RNA, 171 nt
Filed under: Salmonella enterica subsp. enterica
Lineage: Bacteria; Pseudomonadati; Pseudomonadota; Gammaproteobacteria; Enterobacterales; Enterobacteriaceae
Description: RtT sRNA
Rfam family: RtT RNA
About the family: This family represents a bacterial cis-regulatory element known as RtT RNA.
Source: RNAcentral
UAUCUCUCCGUACGGGGAAGGAUGAGAAGCUUCGACUAAGGUUCGAUUCGAGCGCAGCGAGAAAGCGUUGCCGUAGGCAACGACCCGAAGGGCGCAGCGAGAAAGCGUUGCCGCAGGCAACGACCCGAAGGGCGAAGCGCGCAGCGCUGAGUCAUCCUUCCCCCACCACCA